AUUGAACGCUGGCGGAAUGCUUUACACAUGCAAGUCGAGCGGCAGCGCGGGGGCAACCCUGGCGGCGAGCGGCGAACGGGUGAGUAAUACAUCGGAACGUACCCUGGUGUGGGGAUAGCCCGGCGAAAGCCGGAUUAAUACCGCAUACGACCUGAGGGGGAAAGCGGGGGAUUCGCAAGAACCUCGCGCACUUGGAGCGGCCGAUGUCGGAUUAGCUAGUUGGUGGGGUAAAGGCCCACCAAGGCGACGAUCCGUAGCGGGUCUGAGAGGACGGCCCGCCACACUGGAACUGAGACACGGUCCAGACUCCUACGGGAGGCAGCAGUGGGGAAUCUUGGACAAUGGGGGCAACCCUGAUCCAGCCAUUCCGCGUGAGUGAAGAAGGCCUUCGGGUUGUAAAGCUCUUUCGGCAGGAACGAAACGGUACGGGCUAAUACCUCGUGCUAAUGACGGUACCUGAAGAAGAAGCACCGGCUAACUACGUGCCAGCAGCCGCAGUAA
Molecule: ribosomal RNA, 501 nt
Filed under: uncultured bacterium
Lineage: Bacteria
Description: partial 16S ribosomal RNA
Rfam family: Bacterial small subunit ribosomal RNA
Source: RNAcentral